GAAUAUUGGACAAUGGGCGCAAGCCUGAUCCAGCCAUGCCGCGUGUGUGAUGAAGGCCUUAGGGUUGUAAAGCACUUUCACCGAUGAAGAUAAUGACGGUAGUCGGAGAAGAAGCCCCGGCUAACUUCGUGCCAGCAGCCGCGGUAAUACGAAGGGGGCUAGCGUUGUUCGGAAUUACUGGGCGUAAAGCGCGCGUAGGCGGAUUGGUCAGUUAGGGGUGAAAUCCCAGGGCUCAACCCUGGAACUGCCUUUAAUACUGCCGGUCUAGAGUAUGGAAGAGGUGAGUGGAAUUCCGAGUGUAAAGGUGAAAUUCGUAGAUAUUCGGAGGAACACCAGUGGCGAAGGCGGCUCACUGGUCCAUUACUGACGCUGAGGUGCGAAAGCGUGGGGAGCAAACAG
RNAcentral lists this ribosomal RNA (399 nucleotides) under uncultured bacterium. Its description in RNAcentral is "bacterial SSU rRNA". It matches the Rfam family "Bacterial small subunit ribosomal RNA", at positions 359 to 775 of the family's 1533-position model. The record is from RNAcentral.